RNAcentral lists this ribosomal RNA (413 nucleotides) under Salmonella enterica subsp. enterica serovar Typhimurium. RNAcentral describes it as "bacterial SSU rRNA". It matches the Rfam family "Bacterial small subunit ribosomal RNA", at positions 382 to 787 of the family's 1533-position model. Lineage: Bacteria; Pseudomonadati; Pseudomonadota; Gammaproteobacteria; Enterobacterales; Enterobacteriaceae. The record is from RNAcentral.
CCUGAUGCAGCCAUGCCGCGUGUAUGAAGAAGGCCUUCGGGUUGUAAAGUACUUUCAGCGGGGAGGAAGGUGUUGUGGUUAAUAACCGCAGCAAUUGACGUUACCCGCAGAAGAAGCACCGGCUAACUCCGUGCCAGCAGCCGCGGUAAUACGGAGGGUGCAAGCGUUAAUCGGAAUUACUGGGCGUAAAGCGCACGCAGGCGGUCUGUCAAGUCGGAUGUGAAAUCCCCGGGCUCAACCUGGGAACUGCAUUCGAAACUGGCAGGCUUGAGUCUUGUAGAGGGGGGUAGAAUUCCAGGUGUAGCGGUGAAAUGCGUAGAGAUCUGGAGGAAUACCGGUGGCGAAGGCGGCCCCCUGGACAAAGACUGACGCUCAGGUGCGAAAGCGUGGGGAGCAAACAGGAUUAGAUACCC